UGAAGACAUAUCAGGAAAGUCUUUAAACAUCCCCAAUAAAUAACUCCUGGAUUCCCAAGGGCAAUGAGGAGCUACUGCAGUUUUCCUGGGAGGAAAAGAUGCAUGGGACAAUUGUUAAUCAGGAGCUCAGUGGGAUAUGGAUAAUUCAAGUAUCCAGAGGAUUUAAUGCAAAUAAGCGCACAUACCCUCUCUUCCAUGUCAUCAGACUAUCCCAGCGUUUUCACAACCUUGUUAUGCAAAGAAUGGUCCCUGGCCCAGCACCUUGAGAUCAUCUGGGAGUAUGUAAGAAAUGCCAAAAUUCCAGCCUCACCUCCAAACUGCUGAAUCAGAGUCCCCAUAUUUCUCAGAUCCCGGGGUGAUUCCCAUGAAGAAUGUUUGAGAAGCACUCUUUACAAGAUUCUACUUCUAUAUAUUUCAUAUUUGUAGUAAAUUUCAUCAAAACAA
Long non-coding RNA from Rhinopithecus roxellana (golden snub-nosed monkey), 444 nucleotides. RefSeq lists it as uncharacterized. The record is from RefSeq and is a predicted model, not a curated record. NCBI's taxonomy places the organism in Eukaryota, Metazoa, Chordata, Mammalia, Primates, Cercopithecidae. The transcript has 3 exons.